Rhineura floridana is the source of this 537-nucleotide long non-coding RNA. RefSeq lists it as uncharacterized. The record is from RefSeq and is a predicted model, not a curated record. NCBI's taxonomy places the organism in Eukaryota, Metazoa, Chordata, Lepidosauria, Squamata, Rhineuridae. The transcript has 2 exons.
UGACAGCCGAAAGCGCACGGCGGCAGUUAAUUGGCUGGCGUGCCGCUUAAGGAAGGGUUCAGCAAUUAUAACCAGGCAGAGAAAAGAUGCAGUACACCAGAAUAUAAAAAGUAAACCACUCUAGAUUUGUCUUUGGAGUGCUGGAUCUAAAUAUCUCAUAUAUGUAGCCAUGUACACUUCAUUAGCAGUCCUCAAUGGUCUCCUCUGAUUACCGGAACAUGUACGAACAGCAUAUCAUCAGGCACUUCCUUAUAUGCAGAGCAAAGGUGAUGAUGCCUUGAAAAAAGGAGAAGAGAGAUUUGAUUGCUAAGCAAAGUUCUGCUUUUGAAUUUAGGCCUACUUCAGAAAAGUUAUAUUUCUUACAGGGACAUCACUGCUACAAUGGAAACUGGAUGUAUGAGUCCACAUCAUCACCUGUAGGGAGUACAGACAUGCUUAGUUUGCUAUAUGCCACCUAUCUGAGCCUCCAGCCAUAUGCUACAUGUGACAAAAUUGUUCUGUAAUGUAUAACUGUACAUGGGUUAUACAUGAAGAUAA